This 201-nucleotide unclassified non-coding RNA is filed under the name Hevea brasiliensis (rubber tree). Lineage: Eukaryota; Viridiplantae; Streptophyta; Magnoliopsida; Malpighiales; Euphorbiaceae. The record is from RNAcentral.
GCAGAGAGAGAAAUCCAAACUCUUCUAACAGGAAAGAUCAUCUUAUGCCACCAAUCCAUCAAUUUAUUAUGAGUUUUCCUCUUACUUCUGAUUUUCUUUAUCCCGGCCAGACCUUCACCUCUCCCUUUCUUCCUCUUUCUCUAUCCACUCUCAACCAUCAGAGAGAUGAGAGAGACUUUGAAGUUGCUUUUUUCAGCUUAG